Misgurnus anguillicaudatus (oriental weatherfish) is the source of this 1263-nucleotide long non-coding RNA. RefSeq lists it as uncharacterized. The record is from RefSeq and is a predicted model, not a curated record. Lineage: Eukaryota; Metazoa; Chordata; Actinopteri; Cypriniformes; Cobitidae.
CUGGGGGUCAAAGAAUGAAGGAGGUCAUGGUUCAGAGGAUGAUCUUGCAGGAGAAGUCAAAAUGUCUGUGUCACAUGAUGAGGGAGAUGAAGAUACUGCUAAAGAUUCAGAGAGUUUGAUGACCUUUAAGUAAUUCUUCCAAUGAACAAGGCACACCAUUCUGAAGUGUCACUUUAUGGGAAUUGUUCUCUCCCAGAAAAACACGCAGGGUGACAGGGGAGGUCAUUUUUAAAUCCUAUUGAAACAAGAAAAAACAAAUCAGUAUUGUCUGCACUGUAGUGACACCAAACGAAGACCUCCAACCUUGUAGUCAGCCAAUGGAUAGUCAUCAGCCAACUCACUUAGUUUGAGAAAGAAAAUCUCCCUUGAUGGAGAAGGGAUCAAUAUAAUCUUCAUCAUCUUCUGUGGGACUUCCAGAGCCAGAGUGUGUGUCUGUGUUUCCCGUUUGGAUCUACAAAGCCAUAUCAUCUGCUAUUUAUUUAUCAUUUUGCAUCAUUUUAAUAAACUGUUACAUUCUGCUCUAAUAUCUGUCUCCGUCAUCUUCUGUACCUGCGCCCAUGUUUGCGCCCAUGGGCGUUCUGAUCUAAAAACGAGGUGUGUUCAGGCGCAUUGUUGGCGCGUUGCUAUUUUGAGGCAACUAAAAUAUACUACGCCAUUGACCAACACAAACCUGCUCUAAAGUCAAUGGCGCAAUAUGUUUUUUGUUAUUUAAAGAGCGCGUUAGAAAUAUGAGCUAUAUAAACGGGACGAAAACGCAGGUUUGCUUAUCACAUAUGAAUGCUCAGAAGCACAAAAACGCUUUUCAAAUAUAAAAAGAUUAAAGGAUUGAAAUGUAAAAGAUUAUUAUUGAGUCUCUUGGACAUAAAUGAGGACUAAUUAUGAGACGUUAGAAGGCACAAAGAGCUGCUACACCUGCAGCCUGGUAAGUAAAUAAAUGCUUUGCUUUAAACAAAUGCAUCUGUUUUUAUAUGUUUUUUUUUAAAUGCUACCUCACGGAUUUAUUGUAUAAGAUGACUCUGUACCUGUGGAUAUGGUGAGAUGAGAAACAUUUUUAAGUAAUGCUUAAAAACUCAUUGCUUUAAAAAAAAAACGGUGUCCAAGUGGUGAAACGUCCAGAGAGCCAUUUGUAAAUUCCUUAUCUCCUUGUUUGUUACAAAUAAAGUAUUUAUAGAGUACAAACCUUCUCUGACAUACUUGUAAACUAUUUUUUGUUGAUAUUGGACAGCCAUACAUUUAAAGCAAUUAAAAGUCAGCUUUUUUACU